CAAAAACAUCGCCAGAUGGUUUAUAUAUUUGGUUGUUUCUGCUCAAUGGUUAGCUAAAUAGCCGCAGUACUCUGACUGUGCAAAGGUAGCAUAAUCAUUUGUCUCAUAAUUGGAGUCUAGUAUGAAGGAAUUAAUGGGUAACUGCUGUCUUUUAUAGUCAAAAGAAAUUAUUGAGUAGGUGAAAAUACCUACACUUAAACAAUAGACGAGAAGACCCUAGAAAUUUAUUUUAAUUUGAUGCUUCUUACUAUAAUUUUGCUGGGGCGGCAGAAUAACAUAUAACUUAUUUUAGUUUAUUGGAACUAUAUAGUGUGUAAAAACAAAUUACUCUAGGGAUAACAGCAUAAUCUAUUAGAGCUUGUGACCUCGAUGUUGGACUAGGGUUUAUAAUGUUUAGAAGAUAUUAUAACGGGCUCUGUUCGAGCGUUUUUCCCCUACGUGAUCU
Molecule: ribosomal RNA, 445 nt
Filed under: Xerocrassa nyeli
Lineage: Eukaryota; Metazoa; Mollusca; Gastropoda; Stylommatophora; Geomitridae
Description: partial 16S ribosomal RNA
Rfam family: Bacterial large subunit ribosomal RNA
Source: RNAcentral